Long non-coding RNA from Neopelma chrysocephalum (saffron-crested tyrant-manakin), 3701 nucleotides. RefSeq lists it as uncharacterized. Lineage: Eukaryota; Metazoa; Chordata; Aves; Passeriformes; Pipridae. The transcript is spliced from 5 exons. The record is from RefSeq and is a predicted model, not a curated record.
GGGGCCCCGGACGCCCGCACAGUGCCCCCGGAUCGGCGGCCUUUUCCUUGCCCACCGCCGCCUCUUGCAGGCCCCGCCGCCUUUGUCUGCUUCCCGGAGCCGCCGAGCUGAAUGGGCGGCGGAGGACGCGGGCCCCGGCGCGGCCGGUGUGUCCCGGCUGCGAGGGCCACGGCAGCCACGAGUUGCCAAGGUCACGGAGGCUUCGGGGAGCCGUGAGGCCGCUGCUGAGCACCCACACCUGGCCCUCGGCCCCUUGCAAGAAGUUCAAGUGGGCCGAUGGGGUCCAGUGUCCACCAGUGAGAAAGAGCAGCGCACUUUGUGCGAUCCCUGCGAGCCCGCUUGUGUGAUUACCCUCUGUUAAAAGGAUAAAAAGGCAACCUGACAGGUCAUCCUGUGGGAUCUUUCAGACUUGAAUACAGCAGAGAUACACCAGCAGACAAGAGCCACUACACUUGUUUGCACUGUUCAGCCUCAGGAAAGAUAAAAGUCCCAGUGUCACGGCUCUUCCCCAGGUUGCUGGAUUGUUGGCAUGUCCCGGAGACGUGGAUGUGCUACACACAUUGGCUGUGCCCUGUGCGUAGUCAAGUGCUCUGAAAGAAACCCAGGCAACUUCCUUGUCCUGCCUGGCUCAGGAAAUGUGGACUCAGAAUAAUGAGGAGUGAGCAGGACACUGGGGUGUGUGGAGAGAAAAGAGGGCUGACCAACAUGGCCUGCAAAGAUGGUGCAGCACCACUGGACUGCUUUGCUUGCUGUGGCAGGAAUGCAAACUGGUGAUGGAUUUUGAUCUGACUGCAUUACUUUUGCCACCUUCCUGGACUCCCCAAGCAUGACACUAGCACAAGGAUUUUGACUAUAACAAAGCGGGUGAGUUAACCAAGUAUUGCUUCACAAGAAAGAAAAGCAAAAUAAAAUUAAAUUAAGUAAUUCUCACUUGCACUUUGCCCUAACUGACAGCAUCUAAACCUAUGACAAUGACAUGGCUGCUGCUGCUGCUGGCAGCACAGGUGACAACAUUGUGUGGGGGUGGAGGAAUCGGGCUCAGUGAAUGCGUGGUAGGUAUCUGUGUGCAGUCAGUUAUCUCUUAUGCAAUUGCAAUGCAUAUUACCACCUGAGCUACUCCAUUUUUAUUCAUUUGUCUGGCACAACCUCCCUGCUUGAGGAAAUGCUGUUUAUACAGAUAAGGUCUAUGGAGCUACCCCUCUAGAGCUCCCAUGAGUUGACUAGGAAGUUGCACUUGAUGAAGCAUGUCCUUAGGGUGCCAUUGACACUCUUUCUUGGGUGGCACAAUUCAGCUUUUCACACUCCACAGGAGCAUUCAGGCAUUGUCCAGCUGUUGCCACACAUUUAGACAGGCUACCUACCAUACAGUGAUGUAUGACAGAGAUAAGUCAUUUUAAUGACAUGUGAGAGCAAACUUUGGAGAUUUUUUUCAUCUUAUGAUGUCUUUCUGGGAGAAGAGUUGCUGCUGAGAAGAAAUCAUUGUUAUCCCAGCAAGAAUACUUACCUAGCACAAACUAUUUCUCCAGUAGAGAAAGGUUUUUGUAGCCUCUCCGAAUUUUUAAUAUAGCUGCAGUUUUUGCUUUUAAUAUAACAAGGCUUCCUAAAGUGCAGGUUCUGAGUCAUUGCAAAUGUCAAAUAUAAAAUAAUUAAUAACAAAAUUGACUCCCAAAUUAACCCAAUGAAAAAUCUAGUGGUCCAGAAAUACUCUCAUUAGUCAUUCUUUAGACCAGUACUGCCAAUCCUAGAAAUCAAAAGUCAUGAAUUACACCUGCUCCCCACCUAAACCGUGGUUUAAAGAUCAGAAGUCACAUUUUUGUGGUUAAAUCAAUCUGAACUAUUUUGUUCUCCUUGUGGUAACUUGAGACUGUAUCUCAUCCUUGGAUCAUGUUUUUAAUUAUGCUUUAAAGUCCCCAUAACAACUGCAGAUCUCCUGUUUAAAAAAAGCCAAGAUUCUCCUACAUCUGAGGCCACUGUGGUUAAAGAAACAAAUUUUGUUACUCUGCUAAAAGUGCAGGUGUUGGCCACCAUGAAUACAGCUGUUUCAAAGACAGAUGACAUUCUAUGGAAUCAAGUAAUACACUGGACUGAUUGUGAAAUUUUAUCUUCACAUACCUUUGAUUUACUUUUUUGGUUCUUAGAGCAUCUUGACACAUAAAUACUUUUUUUUUCCCCCUCUGCAUUUAGGAUUUUGCAUCUUAAAUAUUGUUUCUACUGGUGUGCUUCAGGGACAAUUUUAAGUUUUUGGUAUGCCACAAUCCACCAGGACUAAAAAUGCAGCCAAAUUUUCUGAUACAAAAGCAGAAAACUUAGCCCAAGGGCUUUAUAAAAAGGCCAUAGGAAAUUCCCAGAUAAGAAAAAAAAGAAACAUCACAACAAGUUUAAUGUAGAACAGACACUUUACAUGUUCUCAUAGUUGAAGCCUGCACAAUGGGACAGUUGUGAGUUAAAGGUUUGGCUCUCUAAUCAUAAAAAGAAAUUUAAAAAUACAAUAGAGAGCCAUAAGUCCUUGCAGUGAAGCACUUCCAGAUUUCCUGUAUCAUUUUUCUUCAGGGAUUUCCUUGACAAGGUCUAUCAUCCUGUCUUACCCUGGGAUUUCCAUGAUCUUUAAGCACUAUCCUUAGAGACACUACCCAUGUAAUUUUGGCUACAUCCACACUGGGAGGGGAAGAGGGCUUGGGAACACCAAAACCAUGUCCUCUUGAAUCCCAACCAGGCUGGUGUCAGCUGAAGGCAGGGUACAACAAGCCUGUCCCAGGCUGUAGGGACAGGCAGGCAAGGCAGGUUGAACCCCCCAUGCCCAGCAUCCAUAGGCUCUCUCUGCCUCCACGAGGCUCUGGGGCACCAGAGCAGUCCUGAACUGCCACUUACUGCAACAACAGCAUCACCCUUGGCUUUCCAGGGCUAUCCCUCCAUAAAAAAAGUCACCUAGCUUUAGUUAUACCAGUGUUGUUGUUGUUGCCUCAUAUAGAAACAUUGUGGGCAUGCCAAAGGGUGCUUUAUGCAGCAUUGCCUGGGGAGAAUGGGGAUGCUCAUACAACUCCCUGUUGCUUUAGCUCUGUUGGAAAAGCACUGUACUUCAGCAGCAAACCUGUGUAGACACAAAACCUGUGUGUAUGCUAUGCCUAAAUUGGGGAGUAGGGAAAUGGAUCUGCACAUCUACAUGUGUGAAGUAAGUUCUUAUCACCAGCUGCCUGCAAGCCAAGCUCAUCCCCCUCACACAUGAAGGCCCCAGUUUUGCCCUGUGGUUUCCACAAACACCCUCCUUCCCUUUGACUCUGUUUCUUGCUGUUGCUCAAACAGGAACUGCUGUGCAUUCACAGCCUUUAGCAGGUGAUGCUCUAAUCUCCCUUUGGCAUCUCCCUGCCAGCUGCCAGUGCAGCCAUGUAUACAUCUGAGAGGAAAUUUUCUAGGACAGCACCAUGAGGCAAAAUGCUUUCCCUAUUUGUUUUCUCUGUCCUUUCAUCUUAUCUCCUCCUGCCCUCCUCCCCCAAGCCUUUUUUUAUAUCCUCCUCCCCUUUUGCUGUACUCUGAGUGCAAAACCAAAUUGAUACUUGUUCCUGGUGCUGGGACCCUUAUGUAGGUCAACCCCUGUGAGUCAUGAGUGUGGUCUGCAGUUGACCUGCAGCUGCUUCAUGAUGCAGAAGGGUAAUCGGGCUUAUAAUUUCUUGUGCCACUUGCCCUUGCCUUUCUUCUUCUACUUC